This 274-nucleotide ribosomal RNA is filed under the name uncultured archaeon. RNAcentral describes it as "partial 16S ribosomal RNA". It matches the Rfam family "Archaeal small subunit ribosomal RNA", at positions 345 to 620 of the family's 1478-position model. The record is from RNAcentral.
AACCUUUACAAUGCACGAAAGUGUGAUAAGGGAAUCCUAAGUGCCUUGCUUUUUGCAAGGCUUUUUUCAAGAGUAAAUAUCUUGGAGAAUAAGUGGUGGGAAAGACUGGUGCCAGCAGCCGCGGGAAUACCAGCGCCACGAGUGGUGAUCAUUUUUAUUGGGCCUAAAGCGUUCGUAGCCGGUCUGAUAAAUCAUCUGUGAAAUUGUCAAGCUCAACUUGACAGCGUGCAAAAGACACUAUCAGACUUGGAACCGGGAGGAGUCAGAGGUAUUC